CGGAGCCGUAUGAUGCGGAAGUCUCACGUACGGUUCCCUGAGAAGGGAGUGGGCUACCUACUGGAGCUUCGACCAACCACCACCGGUCAAUUCCGCUUUGGGGCCACCCCUUACUCUAC
Non-coding RNA from Ricinus communis (castor bean), 119 nucleotides. The record is from Rfam. Lineage: Eukaryota; Viridiplantae; Streptophyta; Magnoliopsida; Malpighiales; Euphorbiaceae.